This 474-nucleotide ribosomal RNA is filed under the name Mniovelia kuscheli. Its description in RNAcentral is "eukaryotic LSU rRNA". It matches the Rfam family "Eukaryotic large subunit ribosomal RNA", at positions 700 to 1139 of the family's 3401-position model. The record is from RNAcentral. Lineage: Eukaryota; Metazoa; Arthropoda; Insecta; Hemiptera; Mesoveliidae.
CGAAAAACCCAAAGGCGCAAUGAAAGUGAAGGAGAGCUCUGCUUUCCGAGGGAGGAUGGGCCGGUCCACGCGGCCGGUCCCGCACUCCCGGGGCGCCUCCGGCUCAUUGCGAGCGGAGGCGCACCCAGAGCGUACGCGCUGGGACCCGAAAGAUGGUGAACUAUGCCUGGCCAGGACGAAGCCAGGGGAAACCCUGGUGGAGGUCCGUAGCGAUUCUGACGUGCAAAUCGAUCGUUAGAGCUUGGUAUAGGGGCGAAAGACCAAUCGAACCAUCUAGUAGCUGGUUCCUUCCGAAGUUUCCCUCAGGAUAGCUGGCGCUCAUGUGAGACGAGUCUCAUCUGGUAAAGCGAAUGAUUAGAGGCCUUGGGGUCGAAACGACCUCAACCUAUUCUCAAACUUUAAAUAGAUGAGAACCCCGGCUUGCUUAAGGUGAAGCCGGGGCCUUGGAUCCGAGUGCCAAGUGGGCCAAUUUUG